GAAAUGUGAGGGCAAUCUGACUAUGACAUUUGUCACCUAAGUGACCUCCAGUGUUAAUUCAUCUGAUCUGGCUGGCUAGGCAUGUGUCCCCUUCCUUCAUUGCUACUCCUGUUAGCCCCUCCUGAAGCUGCCCAUCUCGUCAAAGAAAACCUUCCCCUUAAAGAGCAGGGUCAUCGUCCUAUCAAGGGCACAGAGUAGCUGCCCUCUCCUGCCAGACCCUCCAAACAAGUACUUGGGCAUGGGAGAGGGGUUGCCUUGGAAGUUUCUUGCGCAUAAUGCUAGUCGCACUGAUGAUGUUGCCUGUCGUGUGUG
This 312-nucleotide small nuclear RNA is filed under the name Microtus ochrogaster (prairie vole). RNAcentral describes it as "7SK RNA (ENSMOCG00000007321.1)". It matches the Rfam family "7SK RNA". From Rfam's summary of the family: 7SK was discovered as an abundant small nuclear RNA in the mid-70s but a possible function has only recently been suggested. Two independent studies have found that 7SK RNA binds the CDK9/cyclin T complex (known as elongation factor P-TEFb). P-TEFb activates transcription by phosphorylating the C-terminal domain of RNA polymerase II. Lineage: Eukaryota; Metazoa; Chordata; Mammalia; Rodentia; Cricetidae. The record is from RNAcentral.